This 812-nucleotide ribosomal RNA is filed under the name uncultured bacterium. RNAcentral describes it as "bacterial SSU rRNA". It matches the Rfam family "Bacterial small subunit ribosomal RNA", at positions 8 to 796 of the family's 1533-position model. The record is from RNAcentral.
AGAGUUUGAUCCUGGCUCAGAACGAACGCUGGCGGCGUGCCUAACACAUGCAAGUCGAACGAGAAAACCCCUUCGGGGGUGAGUACAGUGGCGCACGGGUGAGUAACACGUGGGUAACCUGCCCUCGGGUUCGGGAUAACGACUGGAAACGGUCGCUAAUACCGAAUAAGACCACAGGUUCUUCGGAACCCGGGGUAAAAGGAGGCCUCUCCAUGGAAGCUUUCGCUUGAGGAUGGGCUCGCGCACCAUUAGCUAGUUGGCGGGGUAACAGCCCACCAAGGCUACGAUGGUUAGCUGGUCUGAGAGGAUGAUCAGCCACACUGGAACUGAAACACGGUCCAGACUCCUACGGGAGGCAGCAGUGGGGAAUAUUGGGCAAUGGGGGAAACCCUGACCCAGCGACGCUGCGUGAGUGAGGAAGGCCUUCGGGUCGUAAAGCUCUGUCAGGAGGGAAGAACGCGUUGGUGGUUAAUACCCACUGGCGUUGACGGUACCUCCAAAGGAAGCACCGGCUAACUCCGUGCCAGCAGCCGCGGUAAUACGGAGGGUGCGAGCGUUGUUCGGAAUCACUGGGCGUAAAGCGCGUGUAGGCGGAUCGGAAAGUCGGGUGUGAAAGCCCUGGGCUUAACUCAGGAAGUGCACUCGAAACUGCCGGCCUUGAGUACGUGAGAGGAGAGUGGAAUUCCUAGUGUAGAGGUGAAAUUCGUAGAUAUUAGGAAGAACACCGGUGGCGAAGGCGGCUCUCUGGCACGAUACUGACGCUGAGACGCGAAAGCGUGGGGAGCAAACAGGAUUAGAUACCCUAGUAGUCC